GACCUCGGAUCAGGUAGGAAUACCCGCUGAACUUAAGCAUAUCAAUAAGCGGAGGAAA
This 58-nucleotide ribosomal RNA is filed under the name Pestalotiopsis sp. MA165. Its description in RNAcentral is "partial 28S ribosomal RNA". Lineage: Eukaryota; Fungi; Ascomycota; Sordariomycetes; Amphisphaeriales; Sporocadaceae. The record is from RNAcentral.